This 468-nucleotide ribosomal RNA is filed under the name uncultured bacterium. Its description in RNAcentral is "partial 16S ribosomal RNA". It matches the Rfam family "Bacterial small subunit ribosomal RNA", at positions 28 to 507 of the family's 1533-position model. The record is from RNAcentral.
GACGAACGCUGGCGGCGUGCUUAACACAUGCAAGUCGAACGGAAAGGCCCUGCUUUUGUGGGGUGCUCGAGUGGCGAACGGGUGAGUAACACGUGAGUAACCUGCCCUUGUCUUUGGGAUAACUUCAGGAAACUGGGGCUAAUACCGGAUAGGAGCUCCUGCUGCAUGGUGGGGGUUGGAAAGAUUCGGCGGUUGGGGAUGGACUCGCGGCUUAUCCGCUUGUUGGUGGGGUAGUGGCUUACCAAGGUUUUGACGGGUAGCCGGCCUGAGAGGGUGACCGGCCACAUGGCGACUGAGAUACGGCGCAGACUCCUACGGGAGGCAGCAGGGGGGAAUAUUGCACAAUGGGCGGAAGCGUGAUGCAGCAACGCCGCGUGCGGGAUGACGGCCUUCGGGUUGUAAACCGCUUUCGCCUGUGACGAAGCGUGAGUGACGGUAAUGGGUAAAGAAGCACCGGCUAACUACGUG